AACAUAUGGAUCAAUCUUACCUAUCAUCACAUAUCAAAAUCAAACAGAUCAAUUUCUCAAUUUACCAUAAAAAUGUCCAGAAAUCAAGAAAAUCAAAGUUUUUAAAAUACAAAUUUAUGCGGUUUUAUCUGGAUUUUAUGAUCCAUGAAUAAAAUUGAUUGGCAAAUACAUAAUAGCCCUCUGUAACUGAGUGUUUGAGUAGAAUCAAUCGGCAAAUCAUUUGAAACAAAAGGCAAAGAGGAGAACAGGAAUAAGAGAAGACAGAAACCAAAGAAAAGAAGAGAAAGAAAAAUUAUCGCAGAGAUGGC
RNAcentral lists this unclassified non-coding RNA (308 nucleotides) under Hevea brasiliensis (rubber tree). The record is from RNAcentral. Lineage: Eukaryota; Viridiplantae; Streptophyta; Magnoliopsida; Malpighiales; Euphorbiaceae.